GUCCACGCCCUAAACGAUGUCGACUGGUUGUUGGUGGGGUUAAACCCAUUAGUAACGAAGCUAACGCGUGAAGUCGACCGCCUGGGGAGUACGGCCGCAAGGUUAAAACUCAAAGGAAUUGACGGGGACCCGCACAAGCGGUGGAUGAUGUGGAUUAAUUCGAUGCAACGCGAAGAACCUUACCUACCCUUGACAUGCCAGGGAGCUCGCUGAGAGGCGAGUGUGCCCGAAAGGGAGCCUGGACACAGGUGCUGCAUGGCUGUCGU
This 266-nucleotide ribosomal RNA is filed under the name uncultured bacterium. RNAcentral's name for it is "partial 16S ribosomal RNA". It matches the Rfam family "Bacterial small subunit ribosomal RNA", at positions 793 to 1055 of the family's 1533-position model. The record is from RNAcentral.